UACGUAGGCAGCGAGCGUUUGUUCGGAAUUACUGGGCGUAAAGAGUGUGUAGGCGGUGCUCUAAGUUCGGUGUGAAAUCUCCUGCUUAACUGGGAGGGUGCGCCGGAAACUGGAGUGCUUGAGCGUGGGAGAGGAAAGCGGAAUUCCUGGUGUAGCGGUGAAAUGCGUAGAUAUCAGGAGGAACACCUGUGGUGUAGACGGCUUUCUGGACCAUAGCUGACGCUGAGACACGAAAAGCGUGGGUAGCAAACAGG
This 254-nucleotide ribosomal RNA is filed under the name uncultured bacterium. Its description in RNAcentral is "partial 16S ribosomal RNA". It matches the Rfam family "Bacterial small subunit ribosomal RNA", at positions 524 to 776 of the family's 1533-position model. The record is from RNAcentral.